GAGUGAGCUCGGACACACACAGAGAUAAUACACGGCACCUUCACGUAUGGCGGUUCAGGUGGUGAGUUGCAUCAUUCAAAGAAGGCCCCCACUUUUAGAGAAUUCCAAUAACUUCAAUAAGGACCAAAUCCACUGUUUGGAGGAUAAAAUCAACCCAAUCGGUGUUUGGAAGGUCAAGUGACAUUUGGGUAGAAGGAGAAGGAAUGCUUCAUGCUCUGUAUUUUAGAAAGGACAGUGAUUGCAAUUGGACUCUCCGCUACAAUAACCGACACGAUGAAGCCGAAACUUUCAAGCUCGAGAAACACAGAAACAAACCUUCUUUCCUCUAAGUCACACAAGGAGACACGACUGCUGUCCUUGCUGCAUAUUUACUUAUAUUUCACAUUACCAAACAAUUAAUAAUAAUAAUUUACCGAACUUAUAUAUAAUAAUGCUUUAAUUUGUUUUCAGUUGAGAUUUGGACAACUAAACAAGGACAAUAGCAACGCCAGGGUUUUUGAGCAUUCGGGCAAGUUCUAUUCCGUUUCAGAAAACUUUGUACCCCAUGAGAGUGACAUUUUCACAUUACAAACAUUAGGCAAUUGGGACGCUUGUCGAAAUUGGGACAGAUCUUUUGCCAGCCAUCCAAAGAGAGCUCCAGGCACCGGCGAGCUGACUAUAACGGGGCUCGAUGCUAAAAAGCCUUUUGUUGAAUUGUGCCUGUUCCUAAUAUAAUGAUAAUAGAGAUUUGGAAAGGACAUAAAGGUGGAAUACAAUAUGUUUGAGAAGAAGAGCUUCUGUACUGGAUCUGCCUUUGUCUCUUAGGAAGGAAGGGGGUGGUGAAGAAGAUGAUGGUUGGAUUAUUGCAUUCCUUCACAACAAAGAUACCAACACAUCUCGAGUUUAUGUGGUUGACACAAAGAAGUUUACGAGUGAGCCAAUUGCUAAAAUUACAUUGCUGCAGAGUUCCUUACGGAUUUCAUUGAGAUUUCAUGCCAAUAAUCUCAGGGCAUAACUAGCUUAAGAAUAAGUAGAAAUCAUAGUCCCCGCAAUCAAUGUCUAUACAGACUAUAUAACUCAUCGUUUCUUUCAAUUUCAUUUCUGUAUAUGUUUGUGCUUGUGUUGAUGUCCUUCCCUUGUUAAGAUAUAUAUAUAUAUAUAUACACACACACAUAAACGAAAUUGUUCUUUUAUCUCAAUAGUAAAGUUCCGUUUUCA
This is an RNA transcript of Ziziphus jujuba (common jujube), 1197 nucleotides long. RefSeq lists it as uncharacterized. The transcript is spliced from 5 exons. The record is from RefSeq and is a predicted model, not a curated record. Lineage: Eukaryota; Viridiplantae; Streptophyta; Magnoliopsida; Rosales; Rhamnaceae.